AAAUUGAAGAGUUUGAUCAUGGCUCAGAUUGAACGCUGGCGGCAGGCCUAACACAUGCAAGUCGAACGGUAACAGGAAGCAGCUUGCUGCUUCGCUGACGAGUGGCGGACGGGUGAGUAAUGUCUGGGAAACUGCCUGAUGGAGGGGGAUAACUACUGGAAACGGUGGCUAAUACCGCAUAACGUCGCAAGACCAAAGAGGGGGACCUUCGGGCCUCUUGCCAUCAGAUGUGCCCAGAUGGGAUUAGCUUGUUGGUGAGGUAACGGCUCACCAAGGCGACGAUCCCUAGCUGGUCUGAGAGGAUGACCAGCCACACUGGAACUGAGACACGGUCCAGACUCCUACGGGAGGCAGCAGUGGGGAAUAUUGCACAAUGGGCGCAAGCCUGAUGCAGC
This 395-nucleotide ribosomal RNA is filed under the name Salmonella enterica. RNAcentral's name for it is "bacterial SSU rRNA". It matches the Rfam family "Bacterial small subunit ribosomal RNA", at positions 1 to 392 of the family's 1533-position model. Lineage: Bacteria; Pseudomonadati; Pseudomonadota; Gammaproteobacteria; Enterobacterales; Enterobacteriaceae. RNAcentral also lists the same sequence under 1 other name. The record is from RNAcentral.